Molecule: ribosomal RNA, 696 nt
Filed under: uncultured bacterium
Lineage: Bacteria
Description: bacterial SSU rRNA
Rfam family: Bacterial small subunit ribosomal RNA
Source: RNAcentral
UAACGCGUGAGCAACCUUUCCCAGACAGGGGAAUAACACACCGAAAGGUGUACUAAUACCGCAUAAGACCACGGUUUCACAUGGAACUGGGGUAAAAGAUUUAUCGGUUUGGGGUGGGCUCGCGUCCGAUUAGGUAGUUGGUGAGGUAACGGCCCACCAAGCCGACGAUCGGUAGCCGACCUGAGAGGGUGAUCGGCCACAUUGGGACUGAGACACGGCCCAAACUCCUACGGGAGGCAGCAGUGGGGAAUAUUGGGCAAUGGGGGGAACCCUGACCCAGCAACGCCGCGUGGAGGAAGAAGGUUUUCGGAUCGUAAACUCCUGUCCUUGGAGACGAGUAGAAGACGGUAUCCAAGGAGGAAGCCCCGGCUAACUACGUGCCAGCAGCCGCGGUAAUACGUAGGGGGCAAGCGUUGUCCGGAAUAAUUGGGCGUAAAGGGCGCGUAGGCGGCUCGGUAAGUCUGGAGUGAAAGUCCUGCUUUUAAGGUGGGAAUUGCUUUGGAUACUGUCGGGCUUGAGUGCAGGAGAGGUUAGUGGAAUUCCCAGUGUAGCGGUGAAAUGCGUAGAGAUUGGGAGGAACACCAGUGGCGAAGGCGACUAACUGGACUGUAACUGACGCUGAGGCGCGAAAGUGUGGGGAGCAAACAGGAUUAGAUACCCUGGUAGUCCACACUGUAAACGAUGAAUGCUAGGUGU